RNAcentral lists this ribosomal RNA (456 nucleotides) under uncultured bacterium. RNAcentral describes it as "bacterial SSU rRNA". It matches the Rfam family "Bacterial small subunit ribosomal RNA", at positions 340 to 786 of the family's 1533-position model. The record is from RNAcentral.
UACGGAAGGCAGCAGUGGGGAAUAUUGCACAAUGGGCGAAAGCCUGAUGCAGCUAUGCCGCGUGUAUGAAGAAGGCCUUAGGGUUGUAAAGUACUUUCAUCGGGGAGGAAAAAACAAAACUAAUAAUUUUAUUUCUUGACGUUACCCGAAAAAGAAGCACCGGCUAACUCCGUGCCAGCAGCCGCGGUAAUACGGAGGGUGCUAGCGUUAAUCAGAAUUACUGGGCGUAAAGGGCACGUAGGUGGUUUUUUUAAGUCAGAUGUGAAAUCCCUGGGCUUAACCUGGAACUGCAUUUUGAAACUGAAAUACUAGAGUAUCGUAGAGGGAGGUAGAAUUCUAGGUGUAGCGGUGAAAUGCGUAGAUAUCUGGAGGAAUACCUGUGGCGAAAGCGGCCUCCUAAACGAAUACUGACACUGAGGGUGCGAAAGCGUGGGGAGCAAACAGGGAUUAGAUACC